This is a long non-coding RNA of Bactrocera oleae (olive fruit fly), 1910 nucleotides long. RefSeq lists it as uncharacterized. Lineage: Eukaryota; Metazoa; Arthropoda; Insecta; Diptera; Tephritidae. The record is from RefSeq and is a predicted model, not a curated record.
AUUUCAGCAAAUUCUUUUUCUUUAUUAUUUUUUUUUUGUUUUUUGAUUUUCUGCAAGCCAUUAAUGCAUGCGCAGUUAAGUCUCAAGAAUGCUCAUUACUCAACGAAACCAUUCAUUAUUUUGACAACAACUUGAAACGCAAUAAAGAAGGCAUAUACCCGAAAUAUUUUGCUAUAAAUAAAGUAAAAUAAAGUAAAAAUGCCAGAAAAUGCGCCGCAAAGAAAAUAAAUAUUAAAGCUGAUAGGAGGUUAAUCUGUCAUGGUCGCGCAUAAAUUUGAGCUUACACCGAUAUAAUCUGCCGCAUACAAGCAUGGAGAUGGGGACAAAUCGAAAUGUGCAACACAUAGUGCUUUGAACUCUGCUAAACAUAAUUCAGGCAUAUAUAUCGGCAUCAAGGACUUUUGUUGCCAUAAGGAAAACAGCAACUAAGCAAACCAACGACCAAGCGCCGAAGCAGCAGUGUUGAGGCAGAAAGUGAAUUUGAAAAUAUUGAAAAUUUUAAAAUUGCUGCGUCAAUGCUCUGUCAUGCAAUUGCAAAAAUUGCCAAAAAAUCGCAUAAAUUCAAACAUACAUAAAUAAAGCUAUAAUGCGAAUUGCCAUGUCGGCAUGUUUGAAUAGAAAGCGCACGGCUCAGUCGCGCAGCCACAAACUAGCAGGCCGCUGAUAGCUUUGGAACAGCGAACUUAUUAAUAAGCAAUCGCAUUUGCAGCCGUUUUGCGUUGGAUACUGCUGUUUACAUAUUCAAAUACCCUAAACAGCAUAAAAUAAAAUUAGUUUGUAACACCCAGAAGUUAUAUGUACGUAUAUAAAUGAACGGCGUGACAAGAUGAGUCGAUUUAGCUAUGACCAUCUGUAUAUACGCACGUAAGUUUCUGAGAUAUCCAUCUGAAAUUUUUUACAUGUCCUUCACUCUGCAAAAAGCUGCUUAUUUUUCGGAAACACCAAAAUCAGAUCAUUAUAGCAUGUAGCUGUCAUACAAACUGAAUGAUCAAAAUCAAGUGCUCUUAUGGAAAACUUUUAUUUGACAAAAUACCUUUACGAAAUUUGGCACAGAGUAUUAUUUUGGGCAAGGCUACAAUCUUCAAGGAAAUUGUUCAAAUCGAACCAAUAAAGCGUAUAGCUGUCAAACAAACUGAACGAUCAAAAUCAAGUCGUUGUAUGAAAAAAGUUUUAUUUGUGAAGGGUGUUAGCGUUUCGUUGCGGCCGAUGUUAAAACUUUUUCUUAUAUAUAUAUUUUUUUUCAUUUAUUUUAAUAAAAAAAUUAUAUAUUUUUAACAUACAAGUAUUCUACGAAACAAAAUUAAUACAUAUUGAAGCUCCCAACACUUUUUCGCCACUCACAGUGCAAAUUAAGCUAAGCGCCAACAACAUCAACAAAAAACAACAGGUAUUCACACACUGUCUAUAAAUUUUGUACAAAUCAAAAAUUGUAUAAAUCGAAAAAUUCUAUUGAUUGCAGCAUUUCUUAAAAUUUUAUUAGGCUAUUUGUCAUUUAUGUCAAUUAAAUUCUGCACUGAUGCGUUAAUUACGUGCUUUUGGAAUUAAUUGCUGUAAUGAUAUCAUCUAAUAUAUGUACAGUUAACAAUUUCUAAACAGCUCAACUGAUGCAUUAAAUUAAUUUCAUUAGGUUACUCAUACGCCAUGUAUUGCCUACAUAUCACUUAUAUGCGAGUAUGCAAAUGAAAUGUAAUAAAGUCUCGUUAAGAUGCCAAUUCAAUUGUGAUUUGUGCAGCAAGUUAACUUGCAUUAUAUGCCCACACACACACAUACGCACGCAUUUGUGCAUAAGCACAGCAAUAAUUUGUUUAACUAGGCUUAACUUGUUUGAUAAAAUAGUCUUGUUUAUAAAAAAAAUUGAUGGAAAAUUGAAGGUAUGUUGUUGUACAACUGCAAAAAUUUAAAUGACUGGG